UUUUUUUCUGACUAAAUAGAAUUCCUGACGUUAGGAUAUCAAAGUGGGGUUAACGAAAAAGAAAACAGAACGAACUUCGUGGAAAUUAAUGACAACGACUAGCUACCUCUGCAAUCGCCAAUCAGGUUUAGUGGCACCAAGAUUCAACCCCCAAUUGAGCAUACAAGGCAGAAUAUUGGCUUGUGUUCUUGAUGGAUUUGGAAAUGUGUUCCGGGUCCGGACCCGGUAACAACAGUCACAGAAAGCACUAGAAUGUGUCACGGCCAGGACCAGUUCCAGAACCAUCAGAAGAGAAAAUUGGACCACAUCACAAGCCGAAAAGGUAACCAUUAAACCAAACCAAAAGUCGGGAGAUCAUUACAUUCAUUUAUGCAAAACACGAUCAUACCGGGAGUUGACAUGUACAUGAUACUUCUUAUCAGACAAGGAAGUUGAAACUAGUUUGUACUUUACUAGUAUUAUAUCAUACAUAUUACUACUGAGCAGUAGCUUUCUUGGCUUUCUUAGCAGCAGAGGACUUGAUGGAUUUGGGCUGCUUUGGUUUGGCAGCAGCCGAUUUCUUUGCCUUCUUAGGCGGAGGAGGAGCGGCGGCGGCAGACUCUGCUUUGAUUUUAGCUGCAGCAGUUACGGACCUUGUUUUCCUUGGGGCCUUGGCCUUGGUCUUGAUCUCUUUUUUGGUUUUGCCAGCUGCCGCUUCAGAGAGCUUGUAAGAGGCCCUGAUCUUGAUGAGAUUUCCUUUCGCAGCGAAGUGCUUCAGCUGCACUGCCAAUAUUUUCCUGAAAUUCGCUGGGAGCUCAUCUUUGUGCUUCUCUUCCAUGUACUUGGCUAUUGCGUAUGGGCUUGAACCGCUCUUAUCUUGCAGCGCCAUCAGUGCCUCCGUUAUCAUCUGCACAAUUAAUUACAAUAAUAUCAAAAACUUCCUUCAAUGAACGUGACUUAUAAUUUAAUUUGAUUAAAUUGACAAACCUGAAAAUAAGGAGGAUGAGAGGGGGUUUUGGACUGCUUUGGCUUCUUCUCUUUAGGAGCCUUGGGCUUCUUGUCCUUAGCAGCCUUGGCCUUCUUCUCAGUGACGACCUUUUCCGGCUCCUCCGCAGCCGGCUGCUGCUCCGUCACAGCUUCACCUUCUGUGGCCAUCUACUUUCGCAACUAACGAAUCCGCUCAAAACGAUCUCGCAGAAUUACUAGAAGAAAACUAAAGCCUUGAAUUACAGCCUUGAUUGUUUAUUUAUUAAAUAUCGGAGGAAAUGAUCCUUAAUUUAUACUAGCGCUCCAUCCCGGUGAAAAUUUUGUUAUUGGUCCGUUGGAAUUAAAGUAGAUCGCCAGCGUGUUCAAGGAUAUAUCUAGAACUCACACGUGGAACGAUAUCCGACCGUCCCUUACUAUACCAGUUUAAUUUUGCUUAAAAUGGAAUGCGGAGUGGAUUGAAAUUUUCAUUUCGACGUUGGUCUUCUUCCUCUUUGUUGUGUGCUUUCUAUUUUGAUUUACACUGCGAUAUCUUGGGCAUGAAGUCGGCUUUUUUCAUUUUUUUUUUUUGGGAAUGCAAGCUAAGUAAGUCCAGAUUAUAAUGCGGGUCACAUGGAGCAAAAUGGUUGAGUUAAUUGAAUUCUCAAAACAAAAUGUUGUUGGUGUAUGUUGGUUUUGCUUUUUACUUUGUUACUCCGUUGUGCUGUGAAAUUAGAGAAAGCCAUUAUUAGCAAUACGUGAUUGAAAUUUAUAAUUAGGUUUCUCUCUUUCAAAUACAACAAUUAUUUACAAACACAUGAUUAACAUACUAAAUAAGAUCAAAGAUAAUUAUACACCGACCACCUAUUUUUUUUAACUUUUUUAAAAAUACACAAAUCUUAUUUUUUUUGAGACAAUAUUCUACUUGAAGUUAACAUUUUUUUUUAUUUGUCCACUCCCGUCAUAGCACUGUUAGAACUUUGUUGACAUAGUAAGGGUAAAAUUUUUAUUUCACAAGAACAAAAAAAACGACAUUAUUUUAUGUUCCUUUUUUAUUUCCUUUUAUUUUUGGAUAUUAGAAAUUUUUGGUUAAAUUUAAAUUCUUUUAUUAAUUGGUAUCCCUGUUUCUUCUAAUAUAAAUAUAUAUAUACAUUAGAUGCAAAAGUAAUUCAAAUAUGAAUAAAGGAUAAAAGAAAAGUGUACUAGAUUUUGGAAUUUGCCAAUUCAGAAAUGAAAAUAGAAAUUAGAAGUUGAGCCUCUAAUUCCUAUCUUUUUCUUUUCUUGAGUCGGUACUGUGAGUAUAGGAUGUUCUAGUUUUGAUAUUGGAUAUGCCAAACAUUGUAACAAGCUCAAGGAUGGAAACAGAAGUUUUGUGGGGCUUCUACAGUGUCGUAUUGAUCUUGGAAAAUUUUAAAUGAUAUUUCUUUGCCAUUUAUUUGAGACAAAAGAAUAAUUUUAUAUUCAGGGAAAAAAAGAUCGUUUAAUUAAUAUUCUGUUAAAUCUAUUAAUUCCGUUAUAACAGAAGUUGACAAGUAAAAAGAAUGUUAACUUUCAGUAUAGCACUGUCCCUAAAAAAAAAAUCGUGUAUUUUUGAAAAAAAAAAAAAAACAUAUGAUACGUGGAUAAUUGCCCUAGAAUCAGUAACUCUUACUCAUUGUUCUCGCACUUUAAGAGUGUACAACGAGGGACAAGAAAAAAACACACCCAAUUAGGAAAACUCGGAAAACACAGACCUACACCACCAAACAUUACUUUUUUAUCCAGAUUCUCUGUCUGAACUUCCGAUUUAAAAGCAAGUUCCAACCGGUUAAGGUCAACAAGAUCAGUAUUUCAAAUAGUUGUUUUCAACGUAAACAGGAUUGCUAUAGAUCCAGAUGAAGAAAAGUUGGGAAUUCAUCAUCGUAAUAAAACUUUAAAUUACAUUAACAAAAGCUAAAAAAUGAUUUGAUGUUAUAACAAAAGGCAGCAUAUACAAGGUUUUUAGGUAAACUAAAUAAAUAAACAAGCGUUGAAGUGGUGUUCUUUUGUCAACAUAGUAGCAUAAUGAACAAAAUCUUAUUAAGAUCGGAAACUCUUAUCGUUUACAACUGUAGGGAUAUCAUCCAACACAUAUUCUACGGUGCAGUAGUGGAAAUCAAAUGUUCAAUAAAACAAAAAGGUCAAAAGUGAAGGAAAAAAAAUAUUAAUAGAAAAUUGUAAGAUCACGUAAUAAGUCCAACUUCAACAAUAAAGUUUGGCUGCCAGCAUUUCACGGCAUGAUCAAGAGACUUUCACAAUCAUACAAUGAACUGAAGCAUUUGCAAGAGUCAAUGACGCCCGCUUAUUUGAAUAAUACAAAUUACACAGAGCUAGUAAAUAACUACGAAGCAGCUGUCCUAUAGAUAGAACUACAAUAGAUUAAAUAAAUACAUUAGAGGUCAGAUAUUCCCUUUACAAAUGAUUUUUUUAGCUGGAAAUGGAAAGCAACAUUUUUUCCUUGAAGGAGCAAAGCCCGGGCUUAAAAUAUAAAUGAGCUGGAAGACCCCUGUGGACCGACAACAGUUUCGCUUCUGCAGUGAAACUCAACAUUUACACACUAGAUAGACAACAGUUUGAAAAUAUGUGAACCGUGAGGAAACCACCCCCCAAACCCCCUUAAACUCACAUCCACAUCUUAACCACACUAGGCAAAUUUGAGGCCAAUCAACCAAAAAAUUAUACUCCACCUAGCUUCCGAUAUUUUCUGACAUUAUGAUUUAAGGUGAAGAGGCAUUAUCAAAAGACUUAACUAACUCAAUUUUGUUUUAUCUUAGUAUCCGUCUCCACCGCCUAAAACAAAAAAAAUGAUUCCACAGAAGCUAAAAGACAUUUUCAGCAGAUCCCUCGGGUUUAAAUUCGCUCAUAUCUGUCAAUUUCUUCAACCACAAAUUUGUUAUCUUUGGCUGUUUACCAACACGCCCCAAAUUCAACUAAAAUAUGAUUAAUUAUCCUAUUCAAAACAUCUUACAUCCAAACAAACUCACUCAAAACUUAACAGUAUCAACCAUUAAAAAAAAAAACACUUGAACGAUAAGACUGCUAUAGCAAACAGGAGCUGAAACAUGCAAACCAAUAAUCAGAUUAAAGUUCAUAAGGAAAAUCCAACACAGAAACUGAUCUACUAAAGAAGGGGUGGGGAUAUUUAGGUAAACAAAGCAAUACAUGAUAAACAUGAUAAUUACAGCAAAUAGACAUCAUCAAAAAUUUGGGUUGAAUGCAAAAAUAGCAAAAAAAAUUAAAAACAAACCACAGCAGAUAAAUAUAUUGACAAUGGAAAAGAAAGAUUUUUAUGGUUUUUCUAAAAAAAAAGGAAAAAUCAGUUAAAACAGGGAGUGAGGGUUGAAGGCGGCUACAGUAUAUAUAGAAUUUGUAAAGAAGUUUAGUUGAUUGCAAUUUUGAGAUAUCCAGAAGUGUGUAAAUAAAAUAUAAUUUUUAUAUUUUCAUCAUGAACUUUAAGAAAACAGAAAUGUGUGGGUUCAAGUAUCCCCAUGCAAGAAAGAAGCAAGAUUUAUAUCACCUAUUUUUUAUGAAAAUGGAGAUAAGCAAAUCAAGUGUAUUCACUUCACAAUUUAUGGUAAUUUUGAACCAACUUCACAGCUAAACCUUCAAAAGUUCAAUGAAUCAGAAUAGUAACUAAUUGUCCUCUAUGUACCAUCCAAAUAUCACUUGAGUAUAAUUUAGUGGCAAUUAGAAUAAAAGCACACGAUCCCUUGUAAAAGCUAUUUAUGAAACUAACCACGUCCUUAGAGCAAAACCCAGAGUGAAUCUGAUUUCAAUCCAACCAAAGAUUGAAGCUGAACAUGGAAAGAACAGCACUAAGAUCUCUCCUAGAAGUAUAAAUAAAAUUGCAUAUGAUCCCUUCUGCUCCUUCCCAAAUAAAGGUCAAACAAAAGGUUUUAGUAAUCUUCAGUUUGUUAGAGAGUAGCACCUUUAAAACAAAAUCCACAAUUAUCAGAUAAGACUUUCAAGCUGAAGAGGUUUGGAACAGAUGCAAAACAUUGACCACCACCAGAAACAUAUCUAGUCAGAAAGAAACAUAUUCAAUUGAUACAAUAAGGAUGGAUCAUCUUGAAGAACUGCCAUAUUCACUCAAGUAACCAAUAAAAUCUCUAAAGCACAGUCCCCUUCAAUCCAUAACAUAUAUCCAGAUCGGUAGGCAGGUUUCAGAUUGCAUAUUCCUAUACAAGGUCUACACUUUUUGUUUCUCCAAAAACAUAAAACAUAGGGAGAUCUCCAUAAAAGCACUAUAGCCAUAGGCAAUUAAAGUUUAAACUAACUUCUGCAUCUGUCGCGAUAUAAUAAAAGCCAUAGCUUGAACUUUCCAAUUCCACAAAAGAGUCACCCAGUCCACUUCCUUUUAACAGCUUCAAGAUUAAACAUCAAUCUGUAUUCUUGAUCCAUGACGUACUCAUGAAUAUAGAAGGAAACUUAUACUGCCCUUUACCACAACAACCGAUAUAAAAAAACCUCCAGUUCAUACCUAGAGCAGAGGGAGCACAAUCUAUUACAAUCUCCGACGUACAGAAGAAAUAUAAGUUUCUUAGUCCAGGUCCUUCAUGUAUGUAACCUAACUAGACACAUUGAACUCCUAACAUGGUGCUAAUUAUAGUAGAAACAUAACUAGAAAGAGAUGUACAGGGUAAUGGAAGACAAGGGGAAAAAGUUGAAUGAAGAUAAUUAAUAAAAAUUAAAAAGGCAACUGCCACCAUAUUUUCAGCAGCAAGCCAGCUGCCCAUCAACAAUGAACUGCAUCCUGCAUUUCCCAGCCCACCUAGACAAAAGAGUGAAACAGCCUCUAAAAGUUAUAAGGUGAACGCAUUUACCAUAAAACUCAGGAAACUUAAAAUUGCAAUACAGCUGCCAUUACCAAAGGAUCUCGAGUCUAGUAGAAAUAGCCACCUCCAUAUAAGCGAUCAUCCCCGUAAUAUGGUGGGUAAGGUGGAUGUGCACCAUACUGAAAAAAUGAAAAUAUGAUGGAACAUUAUAAAAAUGUCAUCUGCACAUCAAUAUGGACAUGCUAAAACUGCGAGCUUACAUUGGGAACAUGAUAAUCAUCUGAAUAGUGAUUACUGCAAGCUCCAACAUUAUCUAAACAAAAUAAAAUACAGAUGAGCAAUAGGAUGAAUAAAACAUGAAAUUGAGCCUGCCUAAAAAAGUCAACAAAUGCAAAGCAUUGCAUACCAUGAUGAUGGCUUCCAUGAAAUGGAAUUACUGGAUCAUUAUAAUCCAGUCGUGGUCGGAAUCUUCUUGGCCCCAUGCAAUCAGGCUCAUGGUCCUACAGGCAGUAAGCAAAAUUCCAACUAAUAACACUAGGAUAAUUGGUAAAGGAUAGGAACAAACGUGUUAGAAACGUAAAUCAGAGAUAAUAAAAAAUUGGACAAAUAGCUUGCCAUCACAUGGAAUGACCGCUUUACUCCAUGGGCACGGUCAUCAUAAAAAUAAGGGUCAUCAACUUGUCUCCCAAUAAAAGGUCUGUCAAAGUCUUCGCCUUGAGAAAAUGGUUGCCUCCUAUAAGAAUGAUGCUCCCCAUAGCCUCUAUCGGGGCCAUCCGGCCAAAGUCUAGUAGGAUUAGACCUUGAAGGCCCAGCUCCUGCGGCGGCUCUACUAGGUGCAUUAUAACCACCUCUGAAACUCCUUCCUCCUGUAAGUAAUAUAUAUCAAAUUGUAAGACCAGCCUCUAUGUGUUAACUCAUACAUGCUUGUGUAGUUGUGCACAUGGAUGCAUCAACAAACAAGCUCAGAGAGAGAGAGAGAGAGAGAACCUCGUCCAAUAAAUUGUCUCCCAUGAAACUCAGUGUAUCGGUUGUCAAAGUCAUACUCAGUGGGACCCAUUCUACUACUGUGAUUCCGACCAUGUUGAUAGAAACCCCUGCCGCGUUGGAAAUUUGCCCUGUUAAAGUGAUGUCCAGCCCGCCCAGAGCCCCUUCC
Molecule: long non-coding RNA, 6888 nt
Filed under: Citrus sinensis (sweet orange)
Lineage: Eukaryota; Viridiplantae; Streptophyta; Magnoliopsida; Sapindales; Rutaceae
Description: long non-coding RNA (CSIN_LNC000453)
Source: RNAcentral